AGAGUUUGAUCCUGGCUCAGGAUGAACGCUGGCGGCGUGCUUAACACAUGCAAGUCGAACGGAAAGGCCAGUGCUUGCACUGGUACUCGAGUGGCGAACGGGUGAGUAACACGUGGGUGAUCUGCCCUGCACUUCGGGAUAAGCCUGGGAAACUGGGUCUAAUACCGGAUAGGACCACAUUUUGGAUGGUGUGGUGGAAAGUUUUUCGGUGUGGGAUGAGCUCGCGGCCUAUCAGCUUGUUGGUGGGGUAAUGGCCUACCAAGGCGUCGACGGGUAGCCGGCCUGAGAGGGUGUACGGCCACAUUGGGACUGAGAUACGGCCCAGACUCCUACGGGAGGCAGCAGUGGGGAAUAUUGCACAAUGGGCGCAAGCCUGAUGCAGCGACGCCGCGUGGGGGAUGACGGCCUUCGGGUUGUAAACUCCUUUCGCUAGGGACGAAGCGUAUUUGUGACGGUACCUGGAGAAGAAGCACCGGCUAACUACGUGCCAGCAGCCGCGGUAAUACGUAGGGUGCGAGCGUUGUCCGGAAUUACUGGGCGUAAAGAGCUCGUAGGUGGUUUGUCGCGUCGUUUGUGUAAGCCCGCAGCUUAACUGCGGGACUGCAGGCGAUACGGGCAUAACUUGAGUGCUGUAGGGGAGACUGGAAUUCCUGGUGUAGCGGUGGAAUGCGCAGACAUCAGGAGGAACACCAAUGGCGAAGGCAGGUCUCUGGGCAGUAACUGACGCUGAGGAGCGAAAGCAUGGGUAGCGAACAGGAUUAGAUACCCUGGUAGUCCAUGCCGUAAACGGUGGGCGCUAGGUGUGAGUCCCUUCCACGGGGUUCGUGCCGUAGCUAACGCAUUAAGCGCCCCGCCUGGGGAGUACGGCCGCAAGGCUAAAACUCAAAGGAAUUGACGGG
Molecule: ribosomal RNA, 899 nt
Filed under: uncultured bacterium
Lineage: Bacteria
Description: bacterial SSU rRNA
Rfam family: Bacterial small subunit ribosomal RNA
Source: RNAcentral